GAAGUGUGGACGCCAGUCUGCAUGGAGCCGACCUUGAAAUACCACCCUUUAAUGUUUGAUGUUCUAACGUGGACCCGUAAUCCGGGUUGCGGACAGUGUCUGGUGGGUAGUUUGACUGGGGCGGUCUCCUCCUAAAGAGUAACGGAGGAGCACGAAGGUUGGCUAAUCCUGGUCGGACAUCAGGAGGUUAGUGCAAUGGCAUAAGCCAGCUUGACUGCGAGCGUGACGGCGCGAGCAGGUGCGAAAGCAGGUCAUAGUGAUCCGGUGGUUCUGAAUGGAAGGGCCAUCGCUCAACGGAUAAAAGGUACUCCGGGGAUAACAGGCUGAUACCGCCCAAGAGUUCAUAUCGACGGCGGUGUUUGGCACCUCGAUGUCGGCUCAUCACAUCCUGGGGCUGAAGUAGGUCCCAAGGGUAUGGCUGUUCGCCAUUUAAAGUGGUACGCGAGCUGGGUUUAGAACGUCGUGAGACAGUUCGGUCCCUAUCUGCCGUGGGCGCUGGAGAAUUGAGGGGGGCUGCUCCUAGUACGAGAGGACCGGAGUGGACGCAUCACUGGUGUUCGGGUUGUCAUGCCAAUGGCACUGCCCGGUAGCUAAAUGCGGAAGAGAUAAGUGCUGAAAGCAUCUAAGCACGAAACUUGCCCCGAGAUGAGUUCUCCCUGACUCCUUGAGAGUCCUGAAGGAACGUUGAAGACGACGACGUUGAUAGGCCGGGUGUGUAAGCGCAGCGAUGCGUUGAGCUAACCGGUACUAAUGAACCGUGAGGCUUAACCUUACAACGCCGAAG
Molecule: ribosomal RNA, 784 nt
Filed under: Escherichia coli
Lineage: Bacteria; Pseudomonadati; Pseudomonadota; Gammaproteobacteria; Enterobacterales; Enterobacteriaceae
Description: partial 23S ribosomal RNA
Rfam family: Bacterial large subunit ribosomal RNA
Source: RNAcentral